Molecule: ribosomal RNA, 492 nt
Filed under: uncultured bacterium
Lineage: Bacteria
Description: partial 16S ribosomal RNA
Rfam family: Bacterial small subunit ribosomal RNA
Source: RNAcentral
AGUGAACGCUGGCGGUAGGCCUAACACAUGCAAGUCGAACGGCAGCACAGUAAGAGCCUGCCCUUACGGGUGGCGAGUGGCGGACGGGUGAGGAAUACAUCGGAAUCUACUUUUUCGUGGGGGACAACGUAGGGAAACUUACGCUAAUACCGCAUACGACCUACGGGUGAAAGCAGGGGAUCUUCGGACCUUGCGCGACUGAAUGAGCCGAUGUCGGAUUAGCUAGUUGGCGGGGUAAAGGCCCACCAAGGCGACGAUCCGUAGCUGGUCUGAGAGGAUGAUCGGCCACACUGGAACUGAGACACGGUCCAGACUCCUACGGGAGGCAGCAGUGGGGAAUAUUGGACAAUGGGCGCAAGCCUGAUCCAGCCAUGCCGCGUGGGUGAAGAAGGCCUUCGGGUUGUAAAGCCCUUUUGUUGGGAAAGAAAAGCAGCAGGUUAAUACCCCGCUGUUCUGACGGUACCCAAAGAGUAAGCACCGGCUAACUUCGUG